RNAcentral lists this ribosomal RNA (106 nucleotides) under Erysiphe magnoliae. Its description in RNAcentral is "partial 28S ribosomal RNA". It matches the Rfam family "Eukaryotic large subunit ribosomal RNA", at positions 1 to 104 of the family's 3401-position model. Lineage: Eukaryota; Fungi; Ascomycota; Leotiomycetes; Helotiales; Erysiphaceae. The record is from RNAcentral.
UUGACCUCGAAUCAGGUAGGAAUACCCGCUGAACUUAAGCAUAUCAAUAAGCGGAGGAAAAGAAACCAACCGGGAUUACCUCAGUAACGGAGGAAAAAAACGGGAA